CUUAUCAACAGUUCGGCUGACCCAUUGCUAAUCUCCCGCAAACAAGCGUCAACUAAAUGUAUGUAUGUCAAUAUAUAUGUAUAUGUAUG
Long non-coding RNA from Drosophila navojoa, 89 nucleotides. NCBI's taxonomy places the organism in Eukaryota, Metazoa, Arthropoda, Insecta, Diptera, Drosophilidae. The record is from RefSeq and is a predicted model, not a curated record.